AGUCUGAGUAGUUUAAAGGUCAAAACACUAAUUUCAUACGUUAGUAAUGAGAGUUCGACUCUCUCCUCAGACUU
Molecule: transfer RNA, 74 nt
Filed under: Paraisaria gracilis
Lineage: Eukaryota; Fungi; Ascomycota; Sordariomycetes; Hypocreales; Ophiocordycipitaceae
Description: tRNA-Met
Rfam family: tRNA
About the family: Transfer RNA (tRNA) molecules are approximately 80 nucleotides in length.
Source: RNAcentral